Molecule: ribosomal RNA, 117 nt
Filed under: Pteropus alecto (black flying fox)
Lineage: Eukaryota; Metazoa; Chordata; Mammalia; Chiroptera; Pteropodidae
Source: RNAcentral
AUUUAAGAUCUACUCUCUGAACAUGCCUGAUCUCAUCUGAUCUCAGAAGCUAAGCAGGGUCAAGCCUGGUUAGUACUUGGAUAGGAGACCACCUAGGAAUACCAGGUGCUGUAGGCA